AACGCACCUUGCGCUCCUUGGUAUUCCGAGGAGCAUGCCUGUUUGAGUGUCAUGAAAUUCUCUCAACCUUUUCAGGCUUUUAUUAGCUGGGUUAGGCUUGGAUUGUGGGAGCUGCUGGCUUCUCUCAGAGAAGUCAGCUCUUCUUAAAUGUAUUAGCAAAACUUUUGCUGACCAUCCUUGGUGUGAUAAAUUAUCUAUGCCAUUGAAAAUCAGCUUCCUUUGGGUUUAGCUUCUAAUAGUCUCUUUUUUUUUGAGACAACAACAACUUGACAAUUUGACCUCAAAUCAGGUAGGACUACCCGCUGAACUUAA
RNAcentral lists this unclassified non-coding RNA (312 nucleotides) under uncultured fungus. Its description in RNAcentral is "sequence contains ITS2". The stretch from base 1 to 52 matches the Rfam family "5.8S ribosomal RNA", at positions 103 to 154 of the family's 154-position model. The record is from RNAcentral. Lineage: Eukaryota; Fungi.